AAUUUCUGGUCUUUCAAACUCGAACUGUUUCUUUGAAACACGUCUCGAAUUGUUUGGGGACCAUCGUUCUGGAUUGUAUGUCGCCUCUUAAUUGAGUGUGCCAUGUGAUCCAGAGCAUUUACUGUGAGCAAAUGGGAGUGUUCAAAGCAGGCUUUAUGCUAUGCUUGAACCGUCUAGCAUGGAAUAAUAAAAUAGAACUUGGUUCUAUUUUGUUGGCUUUUCGACCCAAGUAAUGAUCAAUAGGGACAGUUGGGGGUGCUCAUAUUCAGGGGGUAGGGGUGAAAUCCUAUGAUCCUCUGAAGAUGGACUAAUGCGAAAGCAUU
RNAcentral lists this ribosomal RNA (323 nucleotides) under uncultured Penardia. RNAcentral describes it as "SSU rRNA". It matches the Rfam family "Eukaryotic small subunit ribosomal RNA", at positions 635 to 955 of the family's 1831-position model. The record is from RNAcentral.